GCCUCUGUAGUGUAAUGGACCUGCGCGGCAGACCGGAUAUGUGUAAGUGCGGGUUCGAGUCCCGCCAGAGAUC
This 73-nucleotide transfer RNA is filed under the name Dictyocaulus viviparus (bovine lungworm). It matches the Rfam family "tRNA". From Rfam's summary of the family: Transfer RNA (tRNA) molecules are approximately 80 nucleotides in length. Their secondary structure includes four short double-helical elements and three loops (D, anti-codon, and T loops). Lineage: Eukaryota; Metazoa; Nematoda; Chromadorea; Rhabditida; Metastrongylidae. The record is from Rfam by way of RNAcentral.